AUUCUACAAAAAAGUUCCUAGAAUAAAGUUUCCGAUCAGAGCGAGAUUUCUGGUAGAAAAGUUAUUUAAAGACACAAAAAAUAAAAAAAAACACAUACUAAAAUCAACAGAUUGAAACUGAGAUGGUUUGGGCUUAUCACGCGUAGAGAGGCAUCUGAAGCAGUCAGAAUUAUAACGAAAAUAAACUUUUCAUAGUAGGAAAUAAGUGGAGAGGAAAACCGAUAAAGAGGUGGUUGGAUGCGAUUAAGAAUGAUAUUAGGGUAGCUGGAGUAUGGGAGAUCGGGUCAAGUGAAUGUUUAAGUAAGGAUAACUAACGCCAACUAGUGGGGAUGGAGGCGAAAGAGAAGAAGAAGAAAAAUAAAACCAACAGAUUCUUCGAUUCAUUCAAAAAUGAAUAUCCCAUUUAAAUAAAAAAAAAAACGUAUGGAAUCUACCAAAAACCAGUUGAAUAAAUUUCGAGAUAUAAUCUUACAAUCAAAAUGUAAACAAAACAAUUGAUAUCAAACUUGAACACAAAAAACGACGGUUCACUAGUUUUGGACAAGUCUAUGGCAAGCUGACAUAUGAAAUAUUAAACAUAAACGAACAGACAAGAAAUAGCCGGAUAUUCAAAUAACUGUUUAGGGACUCACUUAAAUCAUUUUCUAAGUAAAUAAUAUAAGGGGUUACAAAUGUGUAAAUUAUGUUACUAUGGCCUAGGAAAUAUGUUUAGUUCAAGGUUUUUACUUUUCAAAAACGUUAAAAAUUCAAUUACCCGUAACUGAUACGGCCAUUACAGUUUUGCAUGAGGCCUGAAAAACACCGACGAAACACAACUUGCAGUGUUUGAGCGAAAAAUUCUAAGUAAUUACGAGUCGUUAAUCGACUCUGAUACUGGAGAAUGAAGAAUGCGUCAUAAUGGUGAGCCGAGAAAUUUUUGUUCCAUUCAUCGAAUAUAAUUAACAAGGGAAAAAAACGGCUCAUUUGACUGCAGUGUCGUUAAUUCCGGCAUAUUUGUUUGGUAUCUUUUUACCGGUACUGUUUGCGAUGUAUUUAAACUAAAUUACCCUGAAUGGCUUCCCAUCGCCCACAACAAUCGCCUACCUGCCCAUAUUUCAAAGUACAUAAUAUUAUAAUUUUCCGUCCGCUUUAAAUCUUAUUUUACAUGAGAUAAUAAUGAACAUCACUUAAUUUGUCGAACAAGAAACGUGUAUAAAUAAAUAUAUAUUUUAACGAUAAUAACGCCACACCAGGACGCCUGCCAGAUGCUCUGCGAGUGAAGUGAUUCGACGCAAAUCGUUUUCUGAGUAUAGCGCACUAUGUUAGAGGAAUAUCAAAAAUAUUCUCGACGGUCGUGGAAAAAAAACACUAUAGCUUCGAUUUUUUCGCUAAAGUUUUCUCCGUACGCUUUAAAUCUGCCCGUCGCGUAAAAUUUACCCCUUGUACCC
Molecule: non-coding RNA, 1427 nt
Organism: Cinara cedri
Lineage: Eukaryota; Metazoa; Arthropoda; Insecta; Hemiptera; Aphididae
Source: the annotation of a GenBank genome assembly